This 156-nucleotide small nucleolar RNA is filed under the name Bison bison bison. RNAcentral describes it as "Small nucleolar RNA SNORA15 (ENSBBBG00000019597.1)". It matches the Rfam family "Small nucleolar RNA SNORA15". Rfam says of the family: ACA15 is a member of the H/ACA class of snoRNA that guide the sites of modification of uridines to pseudouridines. Lineage: Eukaryota; Metazoa; Chordata; Mammalia; Artiodactyla; Bovidae. The record is from RNAcentral.
GGGCUGAAGACUGCGGUUUUUUUUAAUCAGUGGUUUACAUAGCCAGACACCAGGCAGAAAAGAAAAGAGUGGUCUUCCCUUUAAAGUGGUUAUAAUCAUGUGCUAAGUUUUUUUUUCCCCCCCCAUAACAUAUCAUUAUUCAAGGGAAAUACAAAG